ACGGAGAAUAAGGGUUCGACUCCGGAGAGGGAGCCUGAGAAACGGCUACCACAUCCAAGGAAGGCAGCAGGCGCGCAAAUUACCCACUCUCGGCACGAGGAGGUAGUGACGAAAAAUAACGAGACGGAUCUCUUUGAGGCCCGUUAUCGGAAUGAGAACAAUUCAAAUCCUUUAACGAGGAUCUAGCGGAGGGCAAGUCUGGUGCCAGCAGCCGCGGUAAUUCCAGCUCCGCAGGUGUAUAUCUAUGCUGCUGCGGUUAAAAAGCUCGUAGUUGGAUCUGCGUGCUCGGAACUGGUUGGCUCACUGAGUUCAAACUGGUCUCCGGCGCUUUAUUGGCUGGUUUUCCCUUGAUGCUCUUAACCGGGUGUCUUGGGUGGCUAGCACGUUUACUUUGAAAAAAUUAGAGUGCUCAAUACAGGCGUAAAGCCUUGAAUAGUGGUGCAUGGAAUAAUAGAAUAGGACCUCGGCUCUAUUUUGUUGGUUUUCGGAACGCGAGGUAAUGAUUAAGAGGGACAGACGGGGGCACUCGUAUUGCGACGUUAGAGGUGAAAUUCUUGGAUCGUCGCAAGACGGACGACUGCGAAAGCAUUUGCCAAGAAUGUUUUCAUUAAUCAAGAACGAAAGUUAGAGGUUCGAAGGCGAUCAGAUACCGCCCUAGUUCUAACCGUAAACGAUGCCAACUAGCGAUUCGCAGGCGUUAAACAACGACCUUGCGGGCAGCUUCCCGGAAACGAGAGUGUUCGGGUUCCGGGGGGAGUAUGGUUGCAAAGCUGAAACUUAAAGGAAUUGACGGAAGGGCACCACCAGGGGUGGAGCCUGCGGCUUAAUUUGACCCAACACGGGAAAACUCACCCGGCCCGGACACCGUAAGGAUUGACAGAUUGAGAGCUCUUUCUUGAUUCGGUGGGUGGUGGUGCAUGGCCGUUCUUAGUUGGUGGAGCGAUUUGUCUGGUUUAUUCCGAUAACGAACGAGACUCUGGCCUACUAAAUAGUGGGCGGAUUCUUUCUGUCCGCAACACUUCUUAGAGGGACAAGCGGUGUUCAGCCGCACGAGAUUGAGCAAUAACAGGUCUGUGAUGCCCUUAGAUGUCCGGGGCUGCACGCGCGCUACACUGAAGGAAUCAGCGUGCUUUCUGACCUUGCCCGAAAGGGCUGGGUAACCCGAUGAAAAUCCUUCGUGAUUGGGAUAGGGACUUGCAAUUAUUUCCCUUGAACGAGGAAUUCCCAGUAAGUGUGGGUCAUAAGCUCGCGUUGAUUACGUCCCUGCCCUUUGUACACACCGCCCGUCGCUGCCCGGAACUGAGCCGUUUCGAGAAGAACAGGGACCGUCGUUGAAGGGCCUUAACGGGCUUUUCUCUGAUAGAAACUGUUUUAAUCGCAGUGGCUUGAACCGGGCAAAAGUCGUAACAAGGUU
This 1414-nucleotide ribosomal RNA is filed under the name metagenome. Its description in RNAcentral is "SSU rRNA". It matches the Rfam family "Eukaryotic small subunit ribosomal RNA", at positions 362 to 1801 of the family's 1831-position model. The record is from RNAcentral.